This 468-nucleotide ribosomal RNA is filed under the name uncultured bacterium. RNAcentral describes it as "partial 16S ribosomal RNA". It matches the Rfam family "Bacterial small subunit ribosomal RNA", at positions 28 to 507 of the family's 1533-position model. The record is from RNAcentral.
GACGAACGCUGGCGGCGUGCUUAACACAUGCAAGUCGAACGGAAAGGCCCUGCUUUUGUGUGGUUCUCGCGUGGCGCACGGGUGUGUAACACGUGAGUAUCCUGCCCUUGACUGUGGGAUAACUUCAGGAAACUGGGGCUACUACCUGAUAGGAGCUCCUGCUGCAUGGUGGGGGUUGGAAAGUUUCGGCCGUUGGGGAUGGACUCGCGGCUUAUUAGCUUGUUGGUGGGGUAGUGGCUUACCAAGGCUUUGGCGGGUAGCCGGCAUGAGAGGGUGACCGGCGACAUUGGGACUGAGAGACGGCGCAGACGGCUACGGGGGGCAGCAGUGGGGAGUAUUGCACAAUGGGCGGAAGCCUGAUGAAGCAGCGCCGCGUGCGGGAUGACGGCCUUCGGGUGGUAAACCGCUUUCGCCUGUGACGAAGCGUGAGUGACGGUAAUGGGUAAAGAAGCACCGGCUAACUACGUG